GACGAACGCUGGCGGCGCGCCUAACACAUGCAAGUCGAACGGAGUCAAGAGGAGCUUGCUUUUCUUGACUUAGUGGCGAACGGGUGAGUAACGCGUGAGUAACCUGCCCUGGAGUGGGGGACAACAGUUGGAAACGACUGCUAAUACCGCAUAAGCCCACGGAUCUGCAUGGAUCUGCGGGAAAAGGAUUUAUUCGCUCUAGGAUGGACUCGCGUCCAAUUAGCUAGUUGGUGAGGUAACGGCCCACCAAGGCGACGAUUGGUAGCCGGACUGAGAGGUUGAACGGCCACAUUGGGACUGAGACACGGCCCAGACUCCUACGGGAGGCAGCAGUGGGGGAUAGUGCACAAUGGGGGAAACCCUGAUGCAGCGACGCCGCGUGGAGGAAGAAGGUUUUCGGAUUGUAAACUCCUGUCGUUAGGGACGAUAAUGACGGUACCUAACAAGAAAGCACCAGCUAACUACGUG
This 468-nucleotide ribosomal RNA is filed under the name uncultured bacterium. RNAcentral describes it as "partial 16S ribosomal RNA". It matches the Rfam family "Bacterial small subunit ribosomal RNA", at positions 28 to 507 of the family's 1533-position model. The record is from RNAcentral.